RNAcentral lists this ribosomal RNA (549 nucleotides) under bacterium 86-L049640-122-012-F11. RNAcentral's name for it is "bacterial SSU rRNA". It matches the Rfam family "Bacterial small subunit ribosomal RNA", at positions 61 to 627 of the family's 1533-position model. The record is from RNAcentral.
GUCGAACGAUGAAGCCCUUCGGGGUGGAUUAGUGGCGAACGGGUGAGUAACACGUGGGCAAUCUGCCCUUCACUCUGGGACAAGCCCUGGAAACGGGGUCUAAUACCGGAUAACACUCCUCAGGGCAUCUUGGGGGGUUAAAAGCUCCGGCGGUGAAGGAUGAGCCCGCGGCCUAUCAGCUUGUUGGUGGGGUGAUGGCCUACCAAGGCGACGACGGGUAGCCGGCCUGAGAGGGCGACCGGCCACACUGGGACUGAGACACGGCCCAGACUCCUACGGGAGGCAGCAGUGGGGAAUAUUGCACAAUGGGCGAAAGCCUGAUGCAGCGACGCCGCGUGAGGGAUGACGGCCUUCGGGUUGUAAACCUCUUUCAGCAGGGAAGAAGCGAAAGUGACGGUACCUGCAGAAGAAGCGCCGGCUAACUACGUGCCAGCAGCCGCGGUAAUACGUAGGGCGCAAGCGUUGUCCGGAAUUAUUGGGCGUAAAGAGCUCGUAGGCGGCUUGUCACGUCGGAUGUGAAAGCCCGGGGCUUAACCCCGGGUCUGCAUU